ACUGGGGAUGCGACGGCAGGCAGGUGUGGGCAGGCGAGCGCCGCCGCUCCGACUCUCCGUGGCGCGCGCUCCGGCCAGGGGCUGGGGACGCCGCUGUGCACCCGGUGGGAGCUUUGCGUCCAGGCUUUCCACCAGGCAGUUCUUACAGUUUGCCAAACUUUGGUUUCUGUUUCGAUUCUCUUCUCCAGCACUUUCCAAACGCAAUCAACUGGGAGGGGACUGUCUGUUUCGUCGGGGCGGAGCCACCCUUUGGCUGGGUUUUUCAAGGAGAGGCCAUUGGAUAAGGGCACCGCGGGAAAUGGAAAAGGAAAGCGAAUUCUCUCCUACACCGAGUAAGAUAACGCUCCAGCAAUGCUCUUUUUCCGGGUGUCUUGCCUUCCAAUCAAGGUUCUGCCUCAAAAAUCAGACCUUACAGAAGUUUCCGCAGCCCUUUUGCACCAUCCCUUUGCAACCUGAGUGUGGAGGCUAGAAGAGCAUGUGAUGCCUGUGACGCUUACCACUGGAAAGGUAAAGAGAGACUGACUGCCACAGAGCCUGAUGCAAGCAAGGAAGGAAUUACCCCUUGCUGGGAAUGCAGGUAGAUUUUGUCUGGCCGGAGUGGGUGAGACUGCAAAGGAUAGGUAAAGAGAUGAAGCUAAGAAGACAUCUUUCCGUAGAUCUGUGACUCCAGGUUCCCAGGACAUAGAGGUUCUUGGUCCUUCCUAGAAUAAACCUGGCCUCGUGUGAGCCCCCAAGAACUAACUUGUUCUUCGGGGAGCUUAGAGGUGGAUAUGAAGAAAGAGUGAGUAAUGAUAAACAGCUUUCUUGCUUCAUGCUUAGUUAGAUUGCUAGUAUUUAUACAGCUUCAAUCAGUGCCUGGUGACAGACAGGAAGGGACUUUAACCACCAACUCAGCCUAGGAGGAAGCCAAGAGAGAGGGUUUCCUGUCUGCAAGCAUGAAAGCUCCCCGUAUUUUUUAAUACACAACUUUCUUUUAAUAAAACAAAACCAAAAAAUCCCCCAACAACUUAUUUUUUAUAUAGCUGCCAUUCUUUUCUUGGAUUCAAUACAGCAAGAUUUGGCUGAAGCAGCUAGGAACUUAAUUAGCAACUAAUGUACCAACUUGUAGUAAACAUCAACAUUUGUCUAUGUCAUGAGGGAAAAAAAAAGACACCCACACUGAAAAAUGGCAGCUUCAUUUCAGCAUACAAGCCACAUAAAAUGAGUCCUUAAGGUUGCUACUCACUAAAGCAUUCUGCAACUGUGGUUGAUUGAGUGGUGGUAUAUAUACAUCACAGUUAGAACCUCAUGCUUCAGAAUUAUAUGGAAGGGUCAUUGAAGCUGUCAAAAAGACACAUUUAGGAAAAGUAAUUUGUUCACAAAGCAUAUUCAAUGAAGUCUGGAUAGGCCAGGGAAGCCUGUUGGCAGUAUAGACUGGGUAAGUACAGAAUCUUUGUGUCCAAUUGAGCACUUUAUGGCAAGCUGUCUUAUUUUAUUCUCUAAUUAUAUUAUGUGUUGUUUUUAGGUGCUGUCGAGUUGGGCUCCCACUCUUAGCGGCCUUAUGUAGUCAGUGAAACAAUGUCCAGUCCUGUGCCAUCCUCACAAUCAUUGCUAAGUUUGAGCAUGUUGUUGAAGCCACUGUAUCAAUCCAUCUUGUUGAGGGUCUUCCUCUUUUUCACUGACCCUCUACUUUACCAAGCAUGCUGUCCUUGUCCUGGGAUUCGUCCCUCCUAAUAACAUGUUCAAAAUUCGUUAAGACUCGCCAUCCUCGCUUCUAAGGAACAUUCUGGCUGUACUUCCUCCAAGACAGAUUUGUUUCUUCUUCUGGCAGACCUUGGUAUAUUCAAUAUUCUUAACCAACACCACAAUUAGAAUGCAUCAAUUCUUUUUUGGUCUUCUUUUUUUAUGUUUUGCGGUUAAGCCUUUUUCUUCCCCAAAGGAUUGUAAGCUGCUUGAAAAAGGGACAUAUUUACACAGUAACCAGUACAGUACUCUAUAAAUAGUGGCCAGUGGCCAUUGACAUUUCCCCUGAAUGGGAAUUUUAUUUGUGCUCAGCCUAGCUGCUGGCCUAAUGUCAAACACAGUGAAACUUGCUGAAGUGAAAGGAACUUUGGCCUUGAAGGUAGGACUGAUUUAUGCUAUUCUCUUCUGUUUAUUCUUAGAUUGGUACUAUUUCUUUAAUUUUGGAAACCCUGGUGGUGUAGUGGUUAAGUGCUACGGCUGUUAACCAAAAGGUCGGCAGUUCAAAUUCUCCAGGCGCUCCUUGGAAACUCUAUGGGGCAGUUCUACUCUGUCCUAUAGGGUCGCUAUAAGUCAGAAUCGACUCGACAGCAACGGGUUAGUGGGUAUUUCUUUAAUUAAUUUUGGGAGCUGACCUUGUACCUAGGUUGAUAAUAAUAGAAGAGAGCUAAAUUAGAUGUUUCUACACAAGUAUUCAAAUUACUAAUUUCUGUCAUUGGGUUUAAGAGGAUAUCUUUUUAGGACAAUUCCGAAAAAGCACCCCCCCUUACCCUCCCCCCCAGCUGCUGGCAGGUUCCAUUCAAUAUGUUAAAGAAAAACAAACAAACAAACCAGAAAACACUCUGUCCCACUGCACCCUUCCUGUGUCUUUUAGUUUCAAACACCGGGGAAUGAGAGGAGACUGCUGAUUAAACAUGGGGAGAUAGUUAAUAUCAUCUCCUUGACACCGCUUCAUAAGAAUUGCUGUCCUGUAGGAGAGAGGAUCCAAAGCAGUUCGGACUCACAGUGACAACAUGUACAACAGAGCAAAACACAGUCUGGUCCUGCACCAUCCUCACAGUCAUUGCUAUGUUUGAGCCACUGUUGCAGCCACUGUGUCAGUCCAUCUGGUUGGGAGUCUUCCUCUUUUUCACUGACCCUCUACUUUAUCAACCGUGAUGUCCUUCUCCAGGGACUAGUCCCUCCUGAUAACAUGUCCAAACUACGUGAGAUGGAGUCUCGCCAUCCCCAUUUUCAAGCAGUGCUCUGACUGUACUACUUCUGGAAAAAAUUUUUUCAUUCUUCUGGGCCGUAGAAAAAAACCUGUUGCCAUCAAGUCGAUUCUGACUCACAGCGACUCUAGAGGACAUAGUAGAACUGCUCCACAUAGGGUUUCCAAGGAGUGUGUGGUGGAUUCAAACUGCUGACCUUUUUCAAUGGCAUAUUCAGUAUUCUUUUCCAACACCGUAAUUGAAAGGUGUCAAUUCUUCUUCAGUCUUCCUUAUUAAUUGUCCAGAUUUUGCAUGCAUACAAGGCGAUAGAAAAUACCAUGGCUUGGGUCAGGCGCACCUUAGUCCUCAAAGUGACAUCUUUGCUUUUCUAAUAGUUGAAGGGGCUAAGCAGGUCCCUGGUGCUGAAAACCCUGUAACACCCAGCACAAAGCAAGAGUUAAAACAGUAGGAAGCAAAAAAAAAAAAAAAAAGGAGUAAAAAUAACAUUCAAGAUAGCUCAUGUUGAGCUACCUCGAAGAGACCUUAGAGGCCCUCUCUGGAAUUCUCUGAUAACUGCCCUCCUCAAGAUAACUGAGCAGCAACAUAGUCACAGCUGUAACAGUAAGGAAAAAACUAGAAGAGGAGCACCCACCUCCAUGUUACCAGGCAACUGGGCUGAACCCAUGCUUGCAAUUAGUGUGGUGGAGGCAUGGCUCCACAAAUGACUGAAGGUUCUGCCAACUUUGCCCAGAUUUUCCAGCUUUCAGAAAUAAUUAAGACUGAGGAUUAAGCCUGAUUUGACUGUCACCAGGGAGGUCCAAAGGCCUUAUGUUACAAUUAAAAUUCAACGGGGGAGUGAAAAGACAUGUAUGUCUUUGGUUUUUAGAUACUAUUGCACAGAUGACUGUGAUCUCUAUAAAACCUGGCACCAAAAUGAGAAAAACUUUUGCGUCUGAGGUCACCUUCUUUGAGACCCUUGCCCAAACCUGACUGUGGAUAAGUUCCUUCAGGGCCCCUACAAAUCCCUAUUACAUGUAUUGAUGAUAUUGAUGUUUUAAUGGACAUAUUUGUAAACCUUUACCUCCAACCCUGACAGGAAUUGCUGCAGUUAGGGCCAUUUUAGUGGGACAUGCAGAAACUGUGACAUAGACUAUAGCUAUUAGCCUGGCCGUUCGAUCUGGCCACGGACAUCCCUCAAAGUAAGCCUCUGUGGGGAUGAGACAUCUGGGGAAAAAAAAAAAAAAAUCAGUUCUGGUCUUGUUAAGCUUUUGUUACUUGUGUGGAUGGUCACCAAAAAGCUCCCUUUGCUGAGAGGAAAACAACCAAGGAGCAGACCGUUCCUGCCAACUGACUACUGAGGCUGAAGCAUCCUCUAUUCCAAAGCAAAGAGAUGCGCAAUCAACCACCUCCUGGAUUUAAGAGAGGAUGGCCUGUGGAGGAUCACACACCAUCCUAGACUGGGCCUACACACAUGGACUGCCAGUGUCAUCAGAAAAAGCCAGACAGCAUAGAAAAGCUGACCUGCCUACAAGACCCUGGCCAAGGCAAAAACCUGCCCAGGGACAGAUUCCUGAGCCAACGGACCAGGGCGUUCGGCCAGUAAAUCAUAUCAGGGCCUCUUAUUUUAUACAGAGACUUCCACUGGAUGUUGAAUGAACUCUUCGCACUCCAUAUCACCCCCAAGACAUAGGGGCUGUUGAGCACUUCAGUGGACAGGCUUAAAUGGCUAAUGGGAGGGAACAAGACAACCCCAGCCGGAACUAUACAUCUCAGAUUAUCUCACAAGGAUGGACAAGCCCUUCAUCCAUGGGCCCCAAUGAUACAGGCUUUUGCCAGAGCUACCGAUCAUACCAACUGUUGGCUUUGUCAAUAUUUGAACCAAGAUGACGCGUCAUCUCCCCACAUUGUUCCAGCUGCUCUGUCAACAAGGAGGAUACCUCACGGACCAACUGAAUGUGUAACCUGGUGUAGUGAGGAGAUCAUGUGGCAAAUGAAUACGUUCAACUCCACCACUCAUGGAAAACAGCUUUUGAAAUAUGAAAGCUGCUUGUGCGGAGCGCUCCAACUUUAGAAGGAAAUUUCUCUCUGCAUUAAAAAAUGUAAAUGGCAUUGGACUAGAUGGUUUAACUCUGAGAUCUGUACUUUUAAGACAAAGUUUAACAUUACUCUGGACAUACAGAACUUACAGAAUAUGACCAGGGGUUCCAAAGUACAUUGACUAACUACACCAAGCCUGGAUUAACAUGGUCUGACAAUGGUAAUAACUUGUUCAGUUGUGCUGAGAGAGCUUCUGUAUUACUUGUACUGAAAUGUGUACGGUUCAUACAAUGUGUCACGUUGGGUGAAAUACACUGUUUUUACAUACAUGAAUCAGGACAUGUUAUACGUACAUAAGAUUGGACAAAUGCUGCCCUUUGAUCUAUUUGGUUGGCUUGGAUUAAGCCACAACUGGGGUGGCUGGUUGGGAUCUCUCCUCCAAGCAGGCCUGAUCAAUCUGCUGGGGACAGUCCUACUUGCUGUUGUUGUUAGGUGCUGUUGAGUAGGUUCCAACUCGUAGUGACCCUAUGAACAACAGAAUGAAACACUGCUUGGUCCUGCACCAUUCUCACAAUCAUUGUUAUGCUUGAGCCCAUUGUUGCAGCCACUGUGUCAAUCCAUCUUGUUGAGGGUCUUCCUCUUUUUUGAUGACCCUCUACCAAGCACAAUGCCCUUCUCCAGGGACUUUAUCUCUCCUGAUCACAUGUCCAAAAUAUGUGAGACAGUUCUCACCACCCUUGCUUCUAAGGAGCAUUCUGGUUGUACUUCUUUCCAAGACAGAUUUAUUCAUUCUUUUGGCAGUCCCUGUGUCUUAGUCAUCUAUUGCUGCUAUAACAGAAAUACCACAAGUUGAUGGCUUUAACAAAGAGAAACUUAUUUCUUCAUAGUAAAGUAGGCUAAAAGUCCAAAUUCAGGGUGUCAGCUCCAGGGGAAGGCUUUCUCUCCCUGGGCUGGCGUUCUCAUCAAUCUUCCCCUGAACUAGGAGCUUCUCCAUGCAGGGACCCUGAGUCCAAAGGCUGUGCUCUGCUCCUGGCACUGCUUUCUUGGUGGUAUGAGGUCCCCCUGUCGCUCUGAUCCUUUCUUUCUUUUAUAUCUCAAGAGAUUGGCUCAAGACACAAUCCAAUCUUGUAGAUUGAGUUCUUCCUCACUAACACAACUGCUGCCCAUCCUCCCUCAUUAACAUAAUAGAGGCAGGAUUUACAACAUAUAGGAAAAUCACACAAUACCGGGAAUCAUGGCCCAGCCAAACUGAUACACACGUUUUUGGGGGGACAUAAUUCAAUCCAUAACACCAUGGUAUAUUCAAUAUUCUUCACCAACACCCAAAUUCAUAGGUGUUAUUUCUUUGGUCUUCCUUAUUCAUCAUCCAGCUUUAGCACGCACAUGAGGUGAUUGAAAACACCAUGGCUUGGGUCAGGCACACCUUAGUCUUCAAGGUGACAUCUUUGCUUUUCAACACUUUAAGGAGGUCUUUGGCAGCCGAUUUGCCGAACUGUAACGUGUCUUUUGGUUUCUUUACUACUGCUUCCAUGGGUGUGAUUGUGGACCCAGGUAAAAUGAAAUCCUUGACAACUUCAAUCUUUUCUCUGUUUAUCAUAAUGCUGCUUAUUGGUCCAGUUGUCAGGUUUUUUGUUUUCUUUAUGUUGAGUUGUAAUCCAUACUAAAGGCUGUGGUCUUUGAUCUUGAUCAGUAAGGGCUUCAAGUCCUCUUCAUUUUCAGGAAGCAAGGUCGUGUCAUCUGCAUAUUGCAUGUUGUUCAUGAGUCUUCCUCCAGUCCUGAUGCCCCAUUAUUCUUCAGGUAGACCAGCUUCUCAGAUUAUCUGCUCAGCAUACAGAUUGAGUAGGUAUGGUGAAAGGAUACAACCCUGAUAGACAAUUUUCCUGACUUUAAACCACCCAGAAAGAAGGACCCGGUGGUCUACUUCUGAGAAGAAUUAGCCAGUGAAAACCUUAUGAAUAGCACUGAAACCUACUAGUAACUCUGCACAGAUAUAACGUCCACCAGAGUCAUGCACGAAACCAUGAACAUGCAGCUCAAUGUCCAAAAUAGGUGAUAGGCAUACCAGGACUUGGUACUGCUUUGCUUUUUUUUUUUUUUUUCCUGGCACCCUGAUGGGAAUUGGAGGUUUAGUGCCAGGGUAAUGGUCUGCCUCUAUGCCUCCCAUCCAGGGUGCCUUAGUAAAGGCCUUGGGCCCAGAACAUUCUCUGAUAAGGAAGCUGAGAAUUGGGUUGCCUUCUCUCUCCUAGUUCCUUCGUACCAAAGAAGACUUCCCCCUGUUCUGUGCACACGAUAACUUUCUGUUUCUUGCACAUGGGCAGGCACCAUAUGGCACCUGGCCAACCCCACGUCCAUAGCUGUUCCUGGUGGGGAGGGAAAGGGAAUGGGGUCUCUUGUAGUACAGCACAAGAGGAGGGACAUACCAGAUUGUAAGAGCUGGCCUCAAGAGGUAGACUGAAGGAGAAACAGGCUUUGCAAUGCUGAACAUGAGUCCCUCAUGUGGUCCACUAGUUCACUACAAUUUGCUAAAUCAUCCUUAUGUAAGUCCCUUGCAUGUAGCCAUUAUUGUCCACUACCUUAUAAAACCUUCUCUCCCACUGUAGCAUGUGGAGAUCUGAUUUGGUCCUGAGGCUGCUCAGCAUAUGACCUUGCAUGUAAGACUUCCAAAAAAACUCCUUCACUGCCCCAUUGGAUUUACCUGCCUCUUUCUUCCAUCUCUAGGCACCCUCUACUUUCAGAGGCAAGUUUCACAUUACUGGUCCAUUCCUGCACAGAGUGCCAUUAUUUUUCGCUUGUAAUCAUGGUUGGCAUUCAGCUGGUGAAGACUUUUAGGGUAGAUGUAUCAGCCUGUAUUCAUUCUGAUUGGAAGACAGCUAUUUUGGUUGGUUAACACCUAACCCUACAAAUUGUUAAAUAUUUUUAUUUCGCUUCUUCUCAUAACUGACAAAGGCUUCAAGUAUGAGUCAGAGGGCUGGAAAAUGAAUUAUUGAAAUCAAAUAGUGGGAUAAACUGAACCAAACUUUUGAAUUGCUAAAUCACAAAGAUUUAAACUAAGAUUUUAAAAAAAUGAAUCAUUGUCAAUUUUUUUGUUAUUAAUGCACUAAGUUACCUAAGUUAUAUUUUCAUUAUUUUAUCUUCAUCUGAUCCCUUACUAUUUAAUUUUUGUUUGUAUCUUAUAAUAUUUUACUAUAAUUAUAAAUGUAAAACUUUAUAAAUAAAUAAAUAUACAUUUACUGGGGUCCAUGUUCAAAUGUUUUUAUUGAUAGGGGUCCAGGACAAAGUACUUGGAGACCACAGCUCUAGAGAGUCUCCCAAGAGCUGGAGGUAGUGAUGAAUUUAAAGAACAGAAUUAAUAGGAAGGAAAGAGGAAAGUAUUUAGGUGAAAGGAGAGGAAAAUCUGGCACAAAAGGGAUAUGCAACAGUCAAAUCUUGAAAGCAGAACAUUUCAAGUUGCUAGUCUUAUUGUUUUUGUAACUAACGUUAGUAUACGCAAGUUAACACUUAGAACCAGAAUAUAUUUCAUACUCUAUUUGCCAAACAUACUGUCCAGCAUAUUUUUCCUGAAUUGACUACCUUAAUAAAACUCAUUUUUUAAAGUAAAAACAGUUCACUGUAGGAACUUCAGGGGAAAAUCGCAUAAUUCCAAAGAAGGUUAUACGAAGUGUUUGUAAUCCCAUCACCCAGAGAUAAGCAUUUUUAACAUUUUAAGUAUAUUUCCUACCAAUAUUUAAUAUGUAAAUAU
Loxodonta africana (African savanna elephant) is the source of this 8685-nucleotide long non-coding RNA. RefSeq lists it as uncharacterized. The record is from RefSeq and is a predicted model, not a curated record. Lineage: Eukaryota; Metazoa; Chordata; Mammalia; Proboscidea; Elephantidae. The transcript has 3 exons.